CUACGGGCCGCACCAGUAAGGAAUAUUGCGCAGUGGAGGCAACUCUGACGCAGCCAUGCCGCGUGCAGGACUGAAGGCCUUAUGGGUCGUAAACUGCUUUUAUUUAGGAAUAAACUUUCGUACGUGUACGAGACUGAAGGUACUAAAUGAAUAAGCACCGGCUAACUCCGUGCCAGCAGCCGCGGUAAUACGGAGGGUGCAGGCGUUAUCCGGAUUUAUUGGGUUUAAUGGGUGCGCAGGCGGACUAUUAAGUCAGAGGUGAAAUCCCGGAGCUCAACUUCGGAACUGCCUUUAAUACUGGUAGUCUUGAAUACGGUUGAAGUAGGCGGAAUGUAGCAUGUAGCGGUGAAAUGCAUAGAGAUGCUACAGAACACCGAUCGCGAAGGCAGCUUACUAAGCCGAUAUUGACGCUCAGGCACGAAAGCGUGGGGAGCGAACAGGAUUAGAUACCCGGGUAGUC
Molecule: ribosomal RNA, 460 nt
Filed under: uncultured bacterium
Lineage: Bacteria
Description: partial 16S ribosomal RNA
Rfam family: Bacterial small subunit ribosomal RNA
Source: RNAcentral